Molecule: unclassified non-coding RNA, 253 nt
Filed under: plant metagenome
Description: partial contains small subunit ribosomal RNA, internal transcribed spacer 1, and 5.8S ribosomal RNA
Source: RNAcentral
UUUCCGUAGGUGAACCUGCGGAAGGAUCAUUAACGAGUUAGGGUCUUUUAGGCCCGACCUCCCAACCCUAUGUUUAUUGAACCUCUGUUGCUUCGGCGGACCCGUCUCACGGCCGCCGGAGGACCGCUGCGAGGCGUCCUCUGGCCAGCGUCCGCCGAUGGCCAACCCACUAAACUCUGAAUGAAUCGUGUCAUAUGUCUAAGUCUAUGAUUAAAUUAAAGUAAAACUUUCAACAACGGAUCUCUUGGUUCUG